AAGAAUAACGACUUCGGUAGUGAACAAAAGCAUGUACCAUAGGGAGCUACGAAGCACCUUCGUUGCGAAGAAUACAUUCUUCAAAUUAUCGCAUUAACCAACACUGCUGUGUAAGAGUAACAAACUAUGCGCAGCAUAGAAUACAAAGGCACGUUUUAAUUUCUGGAUGAAAAUUUGGAUCACCGAUGGAUGAAUCGGAGGAGAAGAAUUCAGAGUAAGCAGCUUCCGGAGACAGGAGGGGGUCGUCGCCUAUAUCCACACCGAGUGUUUUUUACCACCUACGUUCUCCACCUUUUGCCUCCGGACCGGUACAAAGGUCCCGCGAUCCUCGUUAACGAGGAGAUCCGCGACAGUUUUUCCUUCCCCCCUUUGGAUCCCUUUU
This is a long non-coding RNA of Colletes gigas, 382 nucleotides long. RefSeq lists it as uncharacterized. NCBI's taxonomy places the organism in Eukaryota, Metazoa, Arthropoda, Insecta, Hymenoptera, Colletidae. The record is from RefSeq and is a predicted model, not a curated record. The transcript has 3 exons.